ACUGCAGACCCCCCACCCCAUCGGAAGUGGGAUCCUCAUUUUCACAAGCUCCCUGGCAGAACAGGUCCUGGAGUGCCCUCUUGCCUCCCCCAGACAGCUGUGCAGGUGCGAGGUGGCUGGAACAUGGAUGCCAAGGGCUGAGCACUCCCUGGCCGCACUGCAGGCACUUCACCGUGAACUUGCUUAUUAACUGGAGUGUAACCCUUCCCCACCAGACUGCAAGCUCCAUGAAGACAGGGCAUUGAUUCAGUCACAGCUGAAUCAUCAGGGCCUCCGACAGGACCUGGACCAGA
Molecule: long non-coding RNA, 293 nt
Organism: Ailuropoda melanoleuca (giant panda)
Lineage: Eukaryota; Metazoa; Chordata; Mammalia; Carnivora; Ursidae
Exons: 3
Source: RefSeq, a predicted model, not a curated record